GACGAACGCUGGCGGCGUGCUUAACACAUGCAAGUCGAACGGUAAGGCCCUUCGGGGUACACGAGUGGCGAACGGGUGAGUAACACGUGGGUGAUCUGCCCUGCACUUCGGGAUAAGCCUGGGAAACUGGGCCUAAUACCGGAUAGGACCCUGGGAUGCAUGUCCUGGGGUGGAAAGCUUUUGCGGUGUGGGACGGGCCCGCGGCCUAUCAGCUUGUUGGUGGGGUGAUGGCCUACCAAGGCGACGACGGGUAGGCGGCCUGAGGGGGUGACCGGCGACACUGGGACUGAGAUACGGCCCAGACUCCUACGGGAGGCAGCAGUGGGGAAUAUUGCACAAUGGGCGCAAGCCUGAUGCAGCGACGCCGCGUGAGGGAUGACGGCCUUCGGGUUGUAAACCUCUUUCAGCACCGACGAAGCGCAAGUGACGGUAGGUGCAGAAGAAGGACCGGCCAACUACGUGCCAGCAGCCGCGGUAA
Molecule: ribosomal RNA, 478 nt
Filed under: uncultured bacterium
Lineage: Bacteria
Description: partial 16S ribosomal RNA
Rfam family: Bacterial small subunit ribosomal RNA
Source: RNAcentral